GAUGAACGCUGGCGGCGUGCCUAAUACAUGCAAGUCGAGCGGACGGACGAGAAGCUUGCUUCUCUGAUGUUAGCGGCGGACGGGUGAGUAACACGUGGAUAACCUACCUAUAAGACUGGGAUAACUUCGGGAAACCGGAGCUAAUACCGGAUAAUAUUUUGAACCGCAUGGUUCAAAAGUGAAAGACGGUCUUGCUGUCACUUAUAGAUGGAUCCGCGCUGCAUUAGCUAGUUGGUAAGGUAACGGCUUACCAAGGCAACGAUGCAUAGCCGACCUGAGAGGGUGAUCGGCCACACUGGAACUGAGACACGGUCCAGACUCCUACGGGAGGCAGCAGUAGGGAAUCUUCCGCAAUGGGCGAAAGACUGACGGAGCAACGCCGCGUGAGUGAUGAAGGUCUUCGGAUCGUAAAACUCUGUUAUUAGGGAAGAACAUAUGUGUAAGUAACUGUGCACAUCUUGACGGUACCUAAUCAGAAAGCCACGGCUAACUACGUG
RNAcentral lists this ribosomal RNA (497 nucleotides) under uncultured bacterium. Its description in RNAcentral is "partial 16S ribosomal RNA". It matches the Rfam family "Bacterial small subunit ribosomal RNA", at positions 28 to 507 of the family's 1533-position model. The record is from RNAcentral.